CCGAAUCUCAAGAUCGCUAUGAUCAAUGGGGCCAGUGGAAAGGAACGGUUACUUUCGAAGAUCAAGAUGAAAAGGAAAUGUUGCUAUGGGGAUUAAAAACUAGACAGAGCAGCUCAUUGGACCAGACCCGUUAUGAUCGUUACUUACACACAUAUGGUCAUAUGAAGGACGGUAUGACAUUCAACAUCAG
Long non-coding RNA from Limulus polyphemus (Atlantic horseshoe crab), 190 nucleotides. RefSeq lists it as uncharacterized. NCBI's taxonomy places the organism in Eukaryota, Metazoa, Arthropoda, Merostomata, Xiphosura, Limulidae. The transcript has 3 exons. The record is from RefSeq and is a predicted model, not a curated record.